GUACGUACUGGUGUUACUGAUUCCUCCCUUCUGACGAACUAUCAUGCCAUUUACUUGGUGUGGUGGGAAAUCACAACUGUUACUUUGAAAAAAUUAGAGUGUUUAAAGCAGGCUCACGCUUGAAUACAUUAUCAUGGAAUAAUGAAAUAGGACGUUGAUCUUAUUUUGUUGGUUUCUAGGAUUGACGUAAUGAUUAAUAGGGAUAGUUGGGGGCAUUAGUAUUCAAUUGUCAGAGGUGAAAUUCUUGGAUUUAUUGAAGACUAACUACUGCGAAAGCAUUUGCCAAGGAUGUUUUCAUUAAUCAAGAACGAAAGUUAGGGGAUCGAAGACGAUCAGAUACCGUCGUAGUCUUAACCAUAAACUAUGCCGACUAGGGAUCGGAUGAUGUUAAUUUUUUAAUGACUCAUUCGGCGCCUUACG
Molecule: ribosomal RNA, 420 nt
Filed under: uncultured Glomeromycotina
Lineage: Eukaryota; Fungi; Glomeromycota
Description: SSU rRNA
Rfam family: Eukaryotic small subunit ribosomal RNA
Source: RNAcentral